RNAcentral lists this ribosomal RNA (232 nucleotides) under Salmonella enterica subsp. enterica serovar Enteritidis. Its description in RNAcentral is "partial 23S ribosomal RNA". It matches the Rfam family "Bacterial large subunit ribosomal RNA", at positions 1145 to 1376 of the family's 2925-position model. The record is from RNAcentral. Lineage: Bacteria; Pseudomonadati; Pseudomonadota; Gammaproteobacteria; Enterobacterales; Enterobacteriaceae.
CUGGUCGAGUCGGCCUGCGCGGAAGAUGUAACGGGGCUAAACCAUGCACCGAAGCUGCGGCAGCGACACUGUGUGUUGUUGGGUAGGGGAGCGUUCUGUAAGCCUGUGAAGGUGUGUCGUGAGGCAUGCUGGAGGUAUCAGAAGUGCGAAUGCUGACAUAAGUAACGAUAAAGCGGGUGAAAAGCCCGCUCGCCGGAAGACCAAGGGUUCCUGUCCAACGUUAAUCGGGGCA